GAUGAAGAACGUAGCGAAAUGCGAUAAGUAAUGUGAAUUGCAGAAUUCAGUGAAUCAUCGAAUCUUUGAACGCACAUUGCGCCCGUCAGUAUUCUGGCGGGCAUGCCUGUUCGAGCGUCAUUACGCCCCUCAAGUCCCCUGUGGACUUGGUGUUGGGGAUCGGCGAGGCUGGUUUUCCAGCACAGCCGUCCCUUAAAUUAAUUGGCGGUCUCGCCGUGGCCCUCCUCUGCGCAGUAGUAAAACACUCGCAACAGGAGCCCGGCGCGGUCCACUGCCGUAAAACCCCCCAACUUUUUAUAGUUGACCUCGAAUCAGGUAGGACUACCCGCUGAACUUAAGCAUAUCAAAAAGCGGAGGA
This 358-nucleotide unclassified non-coding RNA is filed under the name soil metagenome. RNAcentral describes it as "partial contains 5.8S ribosomal RNA, internal transcribed spacer 2, and large subunit ribosomal RNA". The stretch from base 1 to 120 matches the Rfam family "5.8S ribosomal RNA", at positions 35 to 154 of the family's 154-position model. The record is from RNAcentral.